Molecule: non-coding RNA, 2750 nt
Organism: Megalopta genalis
Lineage: Eukaryota; Metazoa; Arthropoda; Insecta; Hymenoptera; Halictidae
Source: RefSeq, a predicted model, not a curated record
CUGGGGGCACAAAGGGGGCGAGGGCAGAGGUAGGGGCGGAACAGUCGCCGAGCGGUGCUGGGCACCGUCGCCACACGACGUUCUUUUUAUCUCAAAGCCGUAUCCCUUUUGCGCCUCUUCUCUAUUCCUCAAUUUCCAAUGAGUCGGAAUACGACAUGAAACGCUAAACUGCCACAAAGGGGGCAGCGGUCGAACCCUUUGCCCCGGUCUCUCUCUCUCUCUCUUUCUCUCACUCUCUCUUUCUCUCUCUCCCUCUCUCUCUCUUUCGCUCUCGCAACGCUGAUCCAGGUGAAACCUCUCCUCCUAUGUCGCCUAGCCAGCCUCACACUCUCUUUCUACCUUUCGAUUCUUUCGCGCGGUACGAGAUGCCUUCGUUCACCCGAUAUUGUUGCCAGGAUUCAAUUAGGGAUGGAGAUCUUGGGGCGGAAGAUGAGAGGAUCGCCGCAUCGAGGACGAGACGGAUCGACGAAGCGGGUUCGAAAGUGUUGGAUUGUUUUCGAGGUUUCACCGUUUUAUUUCUCCAGGUGAAAAUGCAAAGCAGCGGUAAUCAGCGGCGUCGAUCGUCAACGUUGAUCGGCAGCUUUAACGAGCAGCGUUAAUCGCUAUGAUUGACUCGGCGAGGUGGUGUUUCCGGUUGCAGAACUCAAUGAAUCAGAAUGGACAGGGCAAAGGAUUCGGUGGACGCGCGAGGGUGCUCGUCGAAGCGGUUGGACGGCCGUCUAGGAACGUCGGCGAGGGCGUUGCAACGUUUGUUGUACGUUCUCCGCGGUAACGACAACGGUGGCAGUGGCGUCGGCAUCGGUAUCGGCAUCGGCGUCGACGUCGAUGUCCCUCUCGCGUCUCUCGCGGACCAUUUACAAUGCCGGAGGGUGCUCUCGGUUGGAGCCCGAAAUGUUCCUACAAAUCGGCUUAGAAAAUUGUGACCGAGACAACUUUAAUAUCGCACAAAGGUCGACGGAGGAGGAGGGGCUGUUGAUAGCGGCGCAUCGUUAUCCCUUCUACCGCGAUAAGCACCGAAAUCGCACCUAUCGACGCUGCAGACGAUUCGCAUCGCGAAAAGGAUCGAAGGAGGGAGGUGCGAUGGGACCCAGCUGCCGCAGUCGCAGUCGCAGUCGCAGGAACCAGCGGAGACGAGAAUACGGCUCUGCGCGGGGGUUGCUUCUGCAUGGAAAGAGGACGAUUGUCGAGCCGAACGCGAAGGAGCCCCGGACGUUGCCGGCGCGGGACCUUCGAACUCUGAUUCCGAUCGGCGGCGAAUGGAAAAUUGUUUCCUCGACGUUUAAGCGAGAGGCUUAUUUUUCGUAACGUUCUUCGAGGCGUUUCCUUUAUUUCAAACAAGUUGUCGCCGUUGGCAACGAGACGCGGAAGAUGGUCCACGUUGGAACGAGAUGCAGCCGAAAGCGAGUAUCGAGGUCUCGCGGAGGAUCCUGUUCGGGCAGAAACGAAGAACAAGGGAAAGAGACGCGGAGACGCGAAGAGAGGGAUGGCGGGGCUGGAUGGAGGGUUGGUUGCGCUGUCGCGCGACGUGGCUCGCGGUAAUAGGAUUUCACAUCUGUGUCCAAAGGAUCGGGGAUCUCACCUUCGUCCUUCUCGUUGUCGUCGUCGAGGUCCUCGGACAGAUUGUCGUCCUCUUCUUCGUCGUCCUGCGAUCGGUGCGACGCCUCCGCCUCGCUUCCGGAGUGCUCGCCCACGCUUCCGCUUCCCGCUGUUUUCGACAGGUUCAGCACCGGACUGUGGCCGUUCGAGGAACCUACGGAGCGCAGAAAAGGCACGGUGUGAAUCGAUCGAAGACACUCGUCGAAACCGGGAAUCGAACGCAACCGAGAGCUUUGAUGGAUCUUAUUUGGAAACCGUUUGCACCAACGCGUCUCUAUCCCCCCUUGGAGAAAACGAAGGACGAUCCGAUCCACUCUCCGAGGACGUUGCUCCCUCCCUUCGACCAGUAUCUGAUUACCUAGCAUUUUAAUCCUGACGUGGAUAGAUACUGUUUGGACGCCGAGGAUGGCGCAUCGUGUGACGCAUGCGAGAACUGGACGGGGUUCUUCCAAGUAUAGCCGGUUCAAAUAACAACACAGUUUGUCGCUUCAAUCAUCGUUUUAUUUAGAUCUUCGAGAAGUACAUCGAUCGAUAAAUUAUUUACUAGUUCGAUACAAUACGAUAGAUACAAUUAGCGUAGUUGUUGCGGUCGAUGGGUGGUGGUAUCGUCGAGGUUCUUGCGACAGCAUGUUCCGAUCCAUUUCUCGAGCAUCCUUCGAUCGCAACAGGUCCGGAUUCCAACUUGAAAACGUUGCGUUCGCCCGCGAACAGAUCCUCGCCACCAGUCGGGAUAAAAGGUUCGCUCGGACGGAUUAAAAUAUUACGGGGAAUCGGAAGAAAGGCGGUGCCGCGAAACCCGAUAUCGGACUUAAUCUCGGGGGUCUCCUAAACGAUCGGCCGGACCAGCAACGAGAAAUAAAGAAACGCAGAAGAAGACUGGCCCACGAGCGGACACGCUCGGUUAGCUGGUCGCCGACAGGACAACGUUACAAAAUCCUUCCACGCGGCUUGGCUUCGACUUUAAUGCGAUCUUCUUGGAUCGAACCCCUGCGGUCCAAAGGAUCCAAACAACAGGAAUUUCUUCGAUCGACAAGUCCGGAGUUCCUUCGAGCCGAUGCUGCGAAUGUCUCUUAGAUAAUAGUAGCCAAUGUCCGUCUUCUGUAACGCGAUAGUAUAUAAGAAUUAUGAAUAAAAGCUUUGUUUGAGAUCGUAAA